AUUAAAGCUUUGAGAGAUCAUCUUUGUAUUUCAUCUUUCGACAUUAAUAAAGUCUUUACUCCAUCUUCGCCCGUGGACGUAGGCCGUUGGCCAAACCACAUUAGUCUCAGUGUCCUCUAUCCUUUUCUUUUCUUUUCUUGCAUUAAGUAUUAUUUCUGUAUCUAUUUUUCGUCGUUCCGAUUUUAACAAAUUGGUAUCAGAGCCUUUCUAUUCCCUUUGAGGAUUAAGAUGACGACGAAGUUCGAGAUCUAGAAAUUUGACAGGACCAACAGUUUCGCAUUAUGGUACGUCAAAAUACGUGCUAUAUUGACGCGAUAAGGAUUGCAGAAGGUACUGUUGAGAAAAGAAAAGAUGUCUGAUUCUUUGACAUCGGAACAGAAGGAGGAGAUCGAUGACAAAGCUCU
This 404-nucleotide long non-coding RNA is filed under the name Ananas comosus (pineapple). Its description in RNAcentral is "long non-coding RNA (ACOM_LNC036136)". The record is from RNAcentral. Lineage: Eukaryota; Viridiplantae; Streptophyta; Magnoliopsida; Poales; Bromeliaceae.